Otolemur garnettii (small-eared galago) is the source of this 312-nucleotide long non-coding RNA. RefSeq lists it as uncharacterized. NCBI's taxonomy places the organism in Eukaryota, Metazoa, Chordata, Mammalia, Primates, Galagidae. The transcript is spliced from 3 exons. The record is from RefSeq and is a predicted model, not a curated record.
GGGGCGGGGCUGCAGUGGGAGUAACAGUGGCUAUCGGCCCCUUCCAGGUGGCUGGAGGACGUCGUAUUACAACGUGAGCACCCGUUUCCAAUAGUGGACCGAGAGGGGCCGACCCGAAAAGCAUAGUGACUUCCGCCUUGCUUCUCAUUGCUUCUUGGGAGUUGAAGUUUCCUACCGAAUCUUCCAUUUUACUUUGGCUAGGGUCUCACUUUGCCCAGGCUGGAGUGCAGUGGUAGGUUCACAGGUCACCUCCAACUCUGAGCUCAAGUAAUCCUCCUACUUAAGACUGUGGAGUAGCUGGAACUGCAGGUG